GGGGCACGAGUGAGUGGGUGUUAAUAUCGCCCUUGUGGCCAUGCAGAGCUGGAUAAGGAUCAAGUUUUGACGAUUUAUAGAGUAUUUAUUUGGCUAAAAAGAAAACUGGCCUGAAGAAAGAGUGCUCAGAGGCGUGUCUAUUGGCAUCCUUACAAUCCUUGAAGAAGAUGAUCCUGCUGUAUCACCCAACGUACGGGACUGGGCUGUUGGGUUGGAAGGUUCCAUCGUGCUACAUGACCUGCCAGACCUCGACCCCCCACUGAGAGGCGGUCAACGAGGGAUUUGAAGGACGCGUGGACUGCGGGCUGAAUGGCCGCCCGGCUGAGAGCGGCGAGGAGGGAAAGUUCAUUAUCUCGCUGAAAAGGGAACCGAUGGCUUUGGCCGUCGCCGUGGCAACGAGCCUGUCUUUUGCCGUCAGCCCCAUGAUAAGGUCUAUUCAACUGGUGGUCCACAUGUGUGCAGUACUCCCGCCACCCCAGCACGGGGCAACAGCGAGGCAUGUGUGUCACAGUGAAGCAGCAGUGGGGUGAGUACAAGAGGACUAUUUACUGGACAACAAAGUAUGAAUGUUCUACCCCGAGCAAGUGCUGGAGUCAUUGUUUCCUGUGGGCCCUUAUAAGCGAACGGACACAUUGAUCCAAUAAUGGUAGAAAUCCUAGCGUCUAAUCUUCAUCACCAAACUUGGUCAAACAUUUGUAAGUACAAACCCCGUUUCCAUAUGAGUUGGGAAAUUGUUUUAGAUGU
This is a long non-coding RNA of Entelurus aequoreus (snake pipefish), 744 nucleotides long. RefSeq lists it as uncharacterized. The record is from RefSeq and is a predicted model, not a curated record. NCBI's taxonomy places the organism in Eukaryota, Metazoa, Chordata, Actinopteri, Syngnathiformes, Syngnathidae. The transcript has 4 exons.